RNAcentral lists this ribosomal RNA (1668 nucleotides) under Triticum aestivum (bread wheat). RNAcentral describes it as "partial small subunit ribosomal RNA". Lineage: Eukaryota; Viridiplantae; Streptophyta; Magnoliopsida; Poales; Poaceae. The record is from RNAcentral.
ACACACAAGCAGCGGCUCCGUCCCUCCCUCUCCGGCCUCUGCUCUUUCUUCCUCCUCCUCGUUGCCGCAGCCGCAGCCGCCUCCGCCCGCCUUCGCCGUGCGCUACGGCCGGCGUAUGGGACCCGCAGGCCGGCUGUCCGUGGCGGCCGCUCUCCUCUCCUGCCUAUGUUUACAUGGGCUGUUGGGGAAUUCCGGGCAGGCAUUUGCUCAGGGCCCGCCGGUGCUCCACCGGAUCGACCACGCCGAGGAAGAUGACGACAGCGGCGGCCUCAUGCCGGAGCUCUCGCCCACCGGCUCCCCCCAGCCCUUCGUCCCCUUCCUCGCGCCUGCCCCUCUCGCGCCCUUCUACAACAACUCUACGCCCAAGUUGUCAGGCAAAUGCUCACUGAACUUCACUGCCAUCAAUGGCCUGAUGACCACCACGGCCGUCGAUUGCUUCGCCUCAUUCGCUCCGUUCCUCGCCAAUGUCAUCUGCUGUCCCCAGCUCCAGGCCACUCUCACCAUCCUCAUAGGACAGUCCAGCAAGCAGACGGGGUCCCUCGCUUUGGAUCCCACUCUUGCCAACUACUGUCUCUCUGACGUCCAGCAGCUGCUCAUGAGCCAGGGCGCGAGUGAUGAUCUCCGCAGCAUUUGCUCCGUCCACCUCUCCAAUGCCACCGAGGGGUCGUGCCCCGUUAGCACCGUUGAUGCGUUUGAGAGCGUCGUCGACUCAUCAAAGCUCCUCGAGGCCUGCCGGAAGGUCGAUCCUGUUAACGAGUGCUGCAGCCAGACAUGCCAGAGUGCUAUAAGUGAUGCUGCCCGCAAAAUCUCUUCCAAGGACGCUGCGUUGACAAGCGACACUGCCAGUCCCAAAGUUGACAGUUGCAGGAACGUUGUACUUAGAUGGUUAUCCAGCAGGCUUGAGCCAUCAUCCGCAACCAAAAUGCUCAGGCAGAUAUCAAACUGUAAUGUCAAUGGAGUUUGCCCACUAAGCUUCCCAGACACAAGUAAGGUUGCAAAGGAGUGUGGUGGUACAGUUAAAAACAUUACUGUAUGCUGCAAGGCGAUGGACAGUUACGUAUCUCACUUGCAAAAGCAAAGUUUCAUAACAAAUUUGCAAGCUUUGAAUUGUGCCUCAGUCCUUGGGGCAAAAUUACAAGAUAUGAAGGUCAGCACAAAUGUUUAUAGCUCAUGCCAAGUAACAUUGAAGGAUUUCUCACUUCAAGUUGGAUCUCAAGAAUCUGGAUGCCUUCUUCCAACAUCGGCUUCGACAUGCAAUAAAUCGGCUGCUCCUGGACCUAUAAUCCCAGAGAGGCCUGCAGCAACAUCGGCGCAAAACGGUGUCAACCACAACAGACUGGAGCUUAGCCUAGCCGUCUGCUUUGGCGCCCUUGUGGCCACUAUUUUACUGCAAGUCUAGUUCACCUUAGUUUGUCAAAUUAUCCAGAGAUUGAGGAGAGCUGAUUGGAACUGUGAACCGCGGAGUUUUUGUGCGUGCUUGGUCAUUGCAUCAGAGCAUUGUAACUGGUAGCUAUUAGUGUAAUUUGUUGUAAGCCACAGAAUGAUAGUGAAUGCAACACUGACUCUAAUUUAUUACUAUUGCCUUUUGUAUAGCGAGUAGUGAAGGUUCCAUAAUUCUGCAUGACAACUUGGAUAGACUUGAUUUUGUUGUCUAAUGGUUUGUCACUU